Molecule: ribosomal RNA, 559 nt
Filed under: uncultured Glomeromycotina
Lineage: Eukaryota; Fungi; Glomeromycota
Description: bacterial SSU rRNA
Rfam family: Eukaryotic small subunit ribosomal RNA
Source: RNAcentral
UUGGAGGGCAAGUCUGGUGCCAGCAGCCGCGGUAAUUCCAGCUCCAAUAGCGUAUAUUAAAGUUGUUGCAGUUAAAAAGCUCGUAGUUGAAUUUCGGGAUCAAUUUGCCGGUCGAGACCUCUGGUACGUACUUGUAUUAUUGAUUUCUUUCAUUCUGAUAAAUCAUUGACGUCAUUAAUUUGAUGACUUUGAGGAAUCGGAACUUUUACUUUGAAAAAAUUAGAGUGUUUAAAGCAGGCUUAUUAGGCUUGAAUACAUUAGCAUGGAAUAAUGAAAUAGGACGAUUGAUCCUAUUUUUGUUGGUUUCUAGGAUUGACGUAAUGAUUAAUAGGGAUAGUUGGGGGCAUUAGUAUUCAAUUGUCAGAGGUGAAAUUCUUGGAUUUAUUGAAGACUAACUACUGCGAAAGCAUUUGCCAAGGAUGUUUUCAUUAAUCAAGAACGAAAGUUAGGGGAUCGAAGACGAUCAGAUACCGUCGUAGUCUUAACCAUAAACUAUGCCGACUAGGGAUCGGAUGAUGUUAAUUUUUUUUAAUGACUCAUUCGGCGCCUUACGGGAAAC